RNAcentral lists this ribosomal RNA (476 nucleotides) under uncultured bacterium. RNAcentral describes it as "partial 16S ribosomal RNA". It matches the Rfam family "Bacterial small subunit ribosomal RNA", at positions 28 to 523 of the family's 1533-position model. The record is from RNAcentral.
GACGAACGCUGGCGGCGUGCUUAACACAUGCAAGUCGAACGGUAAGGCCCUUCGGGGUACACUAGCGGCGGACGGGUGAGUAACACGUGGGCAACCUGCCUCAUAGAGGGGAAUAGCCUUCCGAAAGGAAGAUUAAUACCGCAUAAGAUUGUGGCUUCGCAUGAAGCAGCAAUUAAAGGAGCAAUCCGCUAUGAGAUGGGCCCGCGGCGCAUUAGCUAGUUGGUGAGGUAACGGCUCACCAAGGCGACGAUGCGUAGCCGACCUGAGAGGGUGAUCGGCCACAUUGGGACUGAGACACGGCCCAGACUCCUACGGGAGGCAGCAGUGGGGAAUAUUGCACAAUGGGGGAAACCCUGAUGCAGCAAUGCCGCGUGAGUGAUGACGGCCUUCGGGUUGUAAAGCUCUGUCUUCGGGGACGAUAAUGACGGUACCCGAGGAGGAAGCCACGGCUAACUACGUGCCAGCAGCCGCCGUAA